AGGACGAACGCUGGCGGCGUGCUUAACACAUGCAAGUCGAGCGGUAAGGCCUUUCGGGGUACACGAGCGGCGAACGGGUGAGUAACACGUGGGUGAUCUGCCCUGCACUUCGGGAUAAGCCUGGGAAACUGGGUCUAAUACCGGAUAUGACUUCAGGUUGCAUGACGUUGGGGUGGUAAA
This 180-nucleotide ribosomal RNA is filed under the name uncultured soil bacterium. RNAcentral describes it as "partial 16S ribosomal RNA". It matches the Rfam family "Bacterial small subunit ribosomal RNA", at positions 26 to 207 of the family's 1533-position model. The record is from RNAcentral.